CACCUCGCGCACCUCGCGCGUCUCCUGAGGGGGCGAGGGGCGCGCGCCCGAGGCUCCAGAUUCUCCCCUCAGAAUCCCGGUUCUCCUCAGGGACACGGUUCUCCCUUCAGCAUCUCGGCUCCCUCAGCCCCCCCCGUGGGGCAGGUCUCACGUAGUCCCUAGGCCCCGGGGCUGGCAGCAAACCCAGGGGUGGGAGCAGGGCCGACCGCCUGGGCUGUGGGAAGUGACAAGGCCCCGGGUGGGAACUGGAGCCGAGGUUAUGGGAGAAGAGGUUUGGGAGCAUCAGGGCCGAGGAAUGAACAGCCGAGUGUUGGUGGUGCCACACGGAACAAGCCAUUGGCGCUGAGUGGUUUCACACUUUGCCCUGCAGAUUUCGGCUCUCGCCGUCUGGCGUCGCAGGGCUGAGCGGCAGCAGAGUUUCUCAGCAGAGGUUCCCAGCUGAGCUCUCCAGCAGACGUUUCCUUCCAUCGCGACGGUUGGGGUCACUCUUUCACAACGAGCGUUUUUCUCCCGAGCUCCAGCUGCGCUUUCCAGUAGGAGGAACCCCGAGCAUUGCAUCCUGUUAACGUGCCGGCCGGGAUUUCGAGCUCUCGGGACUCUCUUUGCUGGACAAACGCACGGUCAGCAGUAUCUCUGAUUUUAAUAGUGUAGCCAUGCAGGAAUAAGCUUUUUAUGUAGCCUCGGAAGCUCAAUAAAUUAGUGUUCAAGCUCCC
Long non-coding RNA from Pipra filicauda (Wire-tailed manakin), 713 nucleotides. RefSeq lists it as uncharacterized. The record is from RefSeq and is a predicted model, not a curated record. The transcript is spliced from 2 exons. NCBI's taxonomy places the organism in Eukaryota, Metazoa, Chordata, Aves, Passeriformes, Pipridae.